Triplophysa rosa is the source of this 2555-nucleotide long non-coding RNA. RefSeq lists it as uncharacterized. The transcript is spliced from 3 exons. The record is from RefSeq and is a predicted model, not a curated record. NCBI's taxonomy places the organism in Eukaryota, Metazoa, Chordata, Actinopteri, Cypriniformes, Nemacheilidae.
CAGUAAAAAACUCUAAAACAGCAACAGUAAAAUAUUUUUUAAAGCUAAAUAGUAUAUCACCGUAUUGCAUACAUUAAAUUACCAUAAUUUAAGAAACAGUACAUACAUUUUAUUUUUACUCUCUUAAUAUGUAAAAAACACAGAUUCUUACAGUAAAAUUUUUAAUUUUUGGUGAAAUUAAUGGGAAAAUACUGGGCCUUUACAAACAAGGAAUUACCUUAAAAACAAUGGUAUUAUUCUGUGCAAAUUACACAUUUUCUUAAUGUGUACUGUAGAAUAUACAAUAUAAAACUGUUUAAAAUCCAACAAACACAUACCUUAAAUCCUACAGUAACAAGAUGUUAAACAUAUGUUUAUCUUUUUGUCAAUUUUAGUUAAAACUUUAAAUACUCUGUAAUUUACUGUACUUUUGUGUAUUGUUCUUUUAUUUAUCUAAUCUGAUAGUUAAUGCUAAUUGCAAUGAAAACAAAACGAAUGUCUUGAAGAAAGUCAAGAAAUAAUUUUAUCAUAGCUAUUCUAAAAAGAUAUUUUCCACCUUAUUUCAUAAUUACCACAACUAGACUAUGAAUAGGAUGAACAAAGCAAAAAUGUUCAAACAAGAAAAAAACUUGACCAUUUUAAAACAAUUAUGAAACUGUGUUUUUAUUAGUGGUGCUUGCGAAAUGGCAUUUGAAAUAAUAAUAAAAAGCGUGAACAAACGAAGAAACACACAAGAGGAAGAAGAUCGUCUCCCCGCUUCUAAGAUUAGGCCUGUGAAUUGCGCAGCGCGACCUGCAUGCGGCAAGUGGUGAGUACUCCUUUGGCUACUUUUUCACGGGGUAAUUUGCAAAUUGCAAAGCUAAAGUAACAGAUUAUCGUGCACUGCUAACGCAAAGUGUAAUUCUGAUGCCUUGUCAACUUGCAUUUAAGCUUGCGUUUUCAAAUCACUUAAAUUAAGGUUACGUGGUAACUCGCUAAUGAAAAAUGUGCUUAAAAACUCAUACACUGCUAAUGCGAAGUGUACUUUUGACGUCUUUUAAUCUUCUUUUAAUCCAUUUCUUGGCUUACUUUUAAAAAUGCUUAAGAGAGCACGACAAUUCAUUAAUAACGUUAACGGUCGAUGUCGUUUUAUAUUUCAAUCAGCGCCAUUUUAGCGCGCCAAGCAGCUGCUUUUGGAAUACCAUCCUCGUCCAUCCUUUUGAUUUCUGGGAGUUCAACAUUUCUUUUCGAGGUAAGCCAAACAAUACUGUUACAAACUAAAAAGUUAAAGUUAUUUAUUUUCCUUUCGUUGUUGUUAUUUAACCAGUUUUGGCUAUGUUUAGUUGCAAUUUCUGUGGCAAGUCGGUCAAAUCAUUGAGGGGGUAUGUACUUCAUUUUAAACUUCAUCGACUUCAUGUGACAUCAAAGAGUGGUGAGAUUUUUAAUUACUUUUAAAGACAUAUUUUUGCCAUAUAUGCUUUGUUGAACUUUUUGUUGAAUUUGGUCUUAUUCAGGAACAAAUGUAUUUUCUUUUAUCUCCUUUUCUUAUGUUACAAGAGGCUGUAUGCGACAGGGACCUCAUCAAUCUCUUUUUCUUGUGAGUCUAUUAUUUGGAUUAGAUACGUUAAUUAAUACAUUAAUUCCUUAACUUUUAACCAAAAAUGUUAUUGUAUUGAAAAUACUAAUAAAUUAUCCCUUUCCUUAACUUGGCACAGCUGGAAAAUUCACAGGAUUGGCAAGUUUCUGAGCUUUAAGGAUCAUGUCAACACCUGAUCAUUGUAACCUGUCUGCAAGAGACUCUGUCCCACCUCUCUUCAGUCAAGUCUGGACCCAGUAAUUCAGACACCUCAAGGAUAAUUAAUGAAAGAUGAAGAAAAUGGCAGUCCAUGAAGUACUACAUUUCCAGUUUCUCGAACUGAUUUAGUGCCAUGUCUUCAGUCAGGUGUGGACUUAUUAUUAUUGUUCAAACAGAGCAAGUGGCCCUGGUUUACUUUUAUAUAUGGACACAUUUUAUUUCCAAGCUCAACAUUGUGAGUACACUGCAAGUUAUUGAAUCAGCUCAAACUGUUUUAACACAGUGUCAGUAUGCAAAAACGGGUUUUUUUUUGCAUACUGUUAAUGAUCUGUUAAUGAUAAUUUGUGUGUUGAUUGACUGCAUUUAUUACCUCAUUUAGUAAUUUACAAUAACCUGACUGACUGUUGUAAAAUCUAUGGCAACCACUUGUAAUGCCUUUUGUGUUAUACCGUAUUUUUUGCGAUGAAAUUCUGGCAACCACAGCUGCCAGUAAUUUUCUGUAAAAUUGAAGUUUACAAUAAAAUACUAUAAUAUUUCAUACGGUUGAAUUGUGUUUAUUACGGAGAUAGACUAUAAUUACUAUUAAAGAAAUUUACACUUGCAACUGCUAUUUUUAAAGUAAAUCACUGUAAACAGGUUUACAUUACAUCUGUUUUAUUUAACAGUAGUGUACCGUAAACAAGCAGCAAUUCGCUACUGUAAAAUUUACGGUUGCAAAAAAGCAUUCUGUAAAGUGUUCCACAUUGUAACCUUAUAUUUUACGGUGAACUUCUGGCAACCACAGCUGCCGGUAUUUUACCGU